This 3040-nucleotide long non-coding RNA is filed under the name Marmota monax (woodchuck). Lineage: Eukaryota; Metazoa; Chordata; Mammalia; Rodentia; Sciuridae. The record is from RNAcentral.
GGAAAUUCCAGCGAGACAAACACUGGGAGGCAUUGAGAAACACUUGGAAAUGCAAAGACGCAGAAUAAAGAUGGAAACAACUCAGACUUCAAGAGACAGACAGAAGAGCUCUACUCUGUUCUUCCUCUGAACUUGUAGCCAAUCUACCCACCCUAGUCUCUCCCACCUCAAUUCUAGAAACUCCUGGAAGCUUCAUUCUGGAAUUUGUUGGUACAAAUGGGCUUGUUGUGGGACUUACCCAGGCUGGACCAGGAUUAUUCUGGUAGGUAGGGUUCAGCUUUACUGCUUCCCAAGUUCAGCUGUUAUGUCUCUGUACCUCUGUUAUGUCUCUGAAAGAGAAUCUUUCUUUCUUCAAGAAAGUAUGUUUGUCUUAAAAAGUGUGUGUGUUUGUGUGUAUGUAUAUGACAUAUACCUAUGAAUGACAUAUAUAUCAAUGACAAAAGUAAAUAUAUAUGAAUGAAUGAUAUACAUAUAUGAGUAUUUAUAUUCUUUCUAUAUAUAAAUGUAUGUAUAUAUGUGUGUACAUUCUUUUUGUUGUUUUUGUUAAUAACACCAACUCAACAUGAUGGCGCACAGUUGUAGUCCCAGCUCCUUCGGAAGCUGAGGCAGGAGAAUCACUUGAGACCAGAAGUUUUAGACUCCUACCAACAUAAGGAGUUAAGAACUUGGGCUGGGGGUAAAAGCUCAGUGGUAGAGUGUUUGCCUAGCAUAUGAGGCACUGGGUUUGAUCACCAUAGAUCCCCAGGAUAGUUUCCCUCCCCAAAGAAGUGGCCUCAUGGGGCCCCACAUCAGCACUUAGCAGGCUCUGGAACAUGCUGGAAAGUGAAUGGGGAGGGACUAGAGAAAGUUAGAGAUGCAAACUCCCUCCCCUGCAAUCUGCACUGAGAAACUUUCCCCUGCACUCUCAUACCUUCCCCCACCUCAUGCACCUGCCUCAGGCCACAUUCCGGUUUCUUCCACAAACACUGCCACUGCUGAGGCCAAGAUUCUGGAUCCUGAUUGCCUGAAUUCUAAUUCUGGUCUGACCACUUAGUAGCAAGUGAUUACCUCUCUGUGCCUCAGUUUUACCCCAUAUAUAUGGAAUACUGAUAGCAUCAAUUUCACUGAAAAGAAUGAAGAACAGGGCUUUGGAGUUAGACUGGCCUUAGGGAAGAUACUUCAGUUUCUCAUCUGUAAAAGCAGCACAAGGGCUCUAAACCCUUAGGUGGGAGGUAUCUAAUUAAGCUUAAUGCAAGACUUAAGACAGGAGGUUUAGCUACAGUGACUUUCCAAAAUUCUCCUCACCUCUUCUGCACACAGUUAGCUCCUACCUCUCCUCUUGGUCCCUCCCUCCCCAUAGAAUCCUGUCUGCCUAUUUUAUGGCUGCUAAUCCCCCCAAAUAAUCCCUCAAUCCUCAUCACACACAGACUGCCCAAACAAUGGAUGAUUGCCAGUCCUGGAGAACAGCACCCCCCAACACACACACACACACACACACACAGGCUGCCCUGCGUCUAGCUCUUGAUCCUUCAAAGAAUCUCUCUGUUCCCUCUUCAGAAAAUGGCUGUACCACCUCCAUCAAACACCUCCCCUGUCUUCCCCAAAUAGCCACCCUUUUGCCUCUUCAAGGGGAACAGCAACCUUAGAAGAAUCUUAAUUAUGCUAACAGUGCCCUAGCUGAUUUUCUUGUGUAUCCUAAUGUACAAUCAAUUGAAUAGGUUAUACCCACUGCAGCUGAAGAGCCUCAUUGUUACCCAGAUAGUGGAAGCCUCCCUCAAGAACCCCAUCACCUCACUUUGAUUCUUCAGGGUAUGGGAUGGGGCAGAGACAACCCCAGUCUGAAUAAUACAGUUACCUUUAAAAUUGUGUCUACUCUGUACUUCCAUAUUUAGUUUUACUACAUAUAUAGUCUUGAAUUUUACUUAUAUGCUAUCUUUGCAUCCUCCUUUCAGUCAUACUCUGAUAUUUACAUUACAUUAGGUAUAUGUGACUCCAGUCCACUCAGUUUAUGUGGAAUAAGGUCCUUAUUAUUACCCACAAAAAAAUAUGGUAAUUAUCUUUCUCUGCUCAAUGGAGAAAAUGUCUUUUGUUAAUGGAGAUUUGUGUUGUUUUUCUUUGGCUGUUUGGUUUAGUUAAGUAUUGUUUUGGUUUUUCUAUUAAAAACAGUCUUUAUAUGGAAAAGGGGGGGAAAACUGUUCUUUUUUUUUUUUAAUAUUUAUUUAUUUUUUAUUUUUAGUUUUUCGGCAGACACAACAUCUUUGUUUGUAUGUGGUGCUGAGGAUCGAACCCGGGCCGCAUGCAUGCCAGGCGAGCGCGCUACCACUUGAGCCACAUCCCCAGCCCGAAAAACUGUUCUUGACAAGACCUUUUCUGCCCUCCUGAAAUUUAUUUAAAUCCCAUGCACCCCCACAACCUGACCCCCUUACACACAGCCAGUCCUCUCCUGCUUAGAUCUCUACCUAUGAUCAGACUCCUAUGCCUAGCUACCAUACAUGGCUAGAGGAUACCCAAGUUAUAGACCCCUCUUUUCAGACCCUCCCCAUGUUCUUUCCCCACACUCAGGCCUUAAAGCUGCCCCUACAAUCCCCCACAGCUGAGGCCCCUCCCAUGCCCAGCCCUGCCCCCAUCCCUUAGGCCCCCAAGGUAGUUUCCCAAUGUCCCAGUACCUCUGCAUUCCAGGCCUUCCACACCUGCAACCCAGUCCAUCCUCCCCGAUGUCCCAGCCCCCACCCCACAUCAGGCACUCCCAUAGUCUUGCUAUUCCCCAAGGAACAGGGCCUUCCCAACUGCUGUCCCUCUCUCUGCUCAGGUCCCCACCUCAUACCCAGACUGCCCCAAGCCCUCUUCAGGCUAGACCCACUUAGGGCCCCCUCCAAAAGCCUUUGGAGGUUUGGUGGCAGCAAUGUGGCUAAUGAACCUGUCAAUUCAAAGACCAGGCACUGCGCAGGAAGACUUCAAACACCCUGGAAUCUUGCUGCUCAUUAUUGAAAACACUUAAUAGAGAUUUUCCCAAAUUUGACAACAUCCAAAACUUUUGAGACAUUAACAAUAAUAAAUGGUG